This is a long non-coding RNA of Mobula hypostoma (lesser devil ray), 740 nucleotides long. RefSeq lists it as uncharacterized. NCBI's taxonomy places the organism in Eukaryota, Metazoa, Chordata, Chondrichthyes, Myliobatiformes, Myliobatidae. The record is from RefSeq and is a predicted model, not a curated record. The transcript has 3 exons.
CAAAGCCCUGCAGCUUGUACAUGACCUGAAGCUGCCCUGUUGUGAGGUUUGGCAUUUUACCGAUAUAUUCUGCUGCAUUAAAUUUGUGGCACUAUGAUGGCUGACUUCAGGCACUUGGAGACCGUUGCCUGAGAUAGAGACAGAUUGAAAACUCUCGUAAAGACAUCAGCCAGUUGUUCAGCACAGACUUUAAGUACCCGUCCUGGAGCUCCAUCUGGGCCUGCAGCUUUUCGUGGAUUGACCGUCUGCAACGUGCGCCGUACAUCAUGCGUGCUCAGUGCCUCUCACCACAAGGUUCCCGCACUGUCUCUGUCUCAUGGAAUCUUCUCGGAGAGGGCAGAACGCUGGAGCACCCAAACAAUCUCCAAACAGCAAAUCACAGGUUCCAACAGUUCCAGAGUCACAUCCAAGAUGAAAAACAAAGAUAAAAGACAUAACAGAAGUGAAGAAUAUGGUUUCAUGAUCUAUCCAGGAGAUGUCGAUCGAAGGAGUGUUGUACCCAGGCGCUAUCUUGACCCGAAGAUUUGAAACUGCAAUAUGAUGUUUUGGCUUUUUCUUUUCCCUGUGCAGUUCAUUUAUUUCUGUCUGCCUGGCAUACUGUUUGUAUGUGACCUACUUCGUUGCAUUUUCUGCAAGUUUUGCUUUUAAAUCUGGAUUUAUCUAGUGUAUGUGAACUGCUGCCACAACAGUGAUACAAUUUGUCUGGUCUGGCAUGCCUCCAUCUAGAUACUACAAUUUUG